GAAACCUGGUUGAUCCUGCCAGUAGUCAUACGCUUGUCUCAAAGAUUAAGCCAUGCAUGUCUAAGUAUAAACGAAUCUAUACUGUGAAACUGCGUACGGCUCAUUAAACCAGUUAUAGUUUAUUUGAUAUUCCCCUACUACUUGGAUACCCGUAGUAAUUCUAGAGCUAAUACAUGCGUCAAGCGACAUAUAUC
RNAcentral lists this ribosomal RNA (194 nucleotides) under uncultured eukaryote. Its description in RNAcentral is "partial 18S ribosomal RNA". It matches the Rfam family "Eukaryotic small subunit ribosomal RNA", at positions 1 to 191 of the family's 1831-position model. The record is from RNAcentral.